CUAACCUGAGAGCAGAGCUCUGGCCCUUUGCUUAAAGAGUGCACAGCUCAUGCAGGUGGGCUGCCCCAGCUGUGCUGUCCUCUUGGCUCUCCAUGGACUUGUGACAGAAGAGAAAUAAUUCGGUCCCAGUGACAAAGAACAUCAAAUAUUUCAUGUCAAAAGCACCCAGUGUGGUGGCUGUGGAGGGCAGUCAGCUUUUCCCCUGAAACCAAGCCUUCUUCUCAAGCUCUCACCUGCACAGGUGAGCUGGCAACCGAGAGGGCUGUGACCCUGCUGAGCAGCAGCACUUUCACACAGCUGCAGCUGGGAUGAACAGGCCACAAAGCCACAUUUUCUCCACAUUACUGAAGCAAGUAGUAAAUCCAAAGGCAGCCACUGAUGUGCAAACACUACAGCUAAUGGCAGACAGGCAAACAAGCUGUGGUGGUAGAAGGAAGACUCAACUGAGGAAGGACUUCCAGCAGCACGGGAGCACUACAACUACCAAGGACCUCCUUUCUUCAGCCACCCAGGGCCAGGCCUCAGCUUGCUGCCUUCCUGGGCAUCCUCACACACAGACAAUGACAAAGAGCCGUGUUUUCAAGUGUGACCAGCAAUUUCUAUCACUUGGCCAGUGACAUCCUAAAAGGAGGUGUGGUUUCUGAAAGCAACAAGCAAGCUGUGAAAAAAGCCAAGUAAUCUAAAGGUUCUUCAAUGUGGCAGCCAGAAAUUCAGGCUUUCCAUCAAAAAAACCCUAAAUAAAGUUCGGACUGAGUGCA
Molecule: long non-coding RNA, 758 nt
Filed under: Junco hyemalis (dark-eyed junco)
Lineage: Eukaryota; Metazoa; Chordata; Aves; Passeriformes; Passerellidae
Description: lncRNA (ENSJHYG00000016486.1)
Source: RNAcentral